RNAcentral lists this ribosomal RNA (543 nucleotides) under uncultured bacterium. RNAcentral describes it as "bacterial SSU rRNA". It matches the Rfam family "Bacterial small subunit ribosomal RNA", at positions 355 to 896 of the family's 1533-position model. The record is from RNAcentral.
UGGGGAAUAUUGCACAACGGGCGAAAGCCUGAUGCAGCGACGCCGCGUGAGGGAUGGAGGCCUUCGGGUUGUAAACCUCUUUCGCUCAUGGUCAAGCCGCAACUGUGGGUUGUGGUGAGGGUAGUGGGUAAAGAAGCGCCGGCUAACUACGUGCCAGCAGCCGCGGUAAUACGUAGGGCGCGAGCGUUGUCCGGAAUUAUUGGGCGUAAAGGGCUUGUAGGCGGUUGGUCGCGUCUGCCGUGAAAUUCUCUGGCUUAACUGGGGGCGUGCGGUGGGUACGGGCUGACUUGAGUGCGGUAGGGGAGACUGGAACUCCUGGUGUAGCGGUGGAAUGCGCAGAUAUCAGGAAGAACACCGGUGGCGAAGGCGGGUCUCUGGGCCGUUACUGACGCUGAGGAGCGAAAGCGUGGGGAGCGAACAGGAUUAGAUACCCUGGUAGUCCACGCUGUAAACGUUGGGCACUAGGUGUGGGGGCCACCCGUGGUUUCUGCGCCGUAGCUAACGCUUUAAGUGCCCCGCCUGGGGAGUACGGCCGCAAGGCUA